This 468-nucleotide ribosomal RNA is filed under the name uncultured bacterium. RNAcentral describes it as "partial 16S ribosomal RNA". It matches the Rfam family "Bacterial small subunit ribosomal RNA", at positions 28 to 507 of the family's 1533-position model. The record is from RNAcentral.
GACGAACGCUGGCGGCGUGCUUAACACAUGCAAGUCGAACGGAAAGGCCCUGCUUUUGUGGGGUGCUCGAGUGGCGAACGGGUGAGUAACACGUGAGUAACCUGCACUUGACUUUGGGAUAACUUCAGGAAACUGGGGCUAAUACCGGAUAGGAGCCCCUGCUGCUUGGUGGGGGCUGGUAAGUUUCGGCUGUUGGGGCUGGACUCGCGGCUUAUCAGCUUGUUGGUGGGGUAGUGGCUUACCAAGGCCUUGACGGGUAGCCGGCCUGAGAGGGUGACCGGCCUCAUUGGGACUGAGAUACGGCCCAGACUCCUACGGGAGGCAGCAGUGGGGAAUAUUGCACAAUGGGCGGAAGCCUGAUGCAGCAACGCCGCGUGCGGGAUGACGGCCUUCGGGUUGUAAACCGCUUUCGCCUGUGACGAAGCGUGAGUGACGGUAAUGGGUAAAGAAGCACCGGCUAACUACGUG